AACGAACGCUGGCGGCAUGCCUAACACAUGCAAGUCGAACGAGACCUUCGGGUCUAGUGGCGCACGGGUGCGUAACGCGUGGGAAUCUGCCCUUGGGUUCGGAAUAACAGUUAGAAAUGACUGCUAAUACCGAAUGAUGUCUUCGGACCAAAGAUUUAUCGCCCAGGGAUGAGCCCGCAUCGGAUUAGCUAGUUGGUGAGGUAAAGGCUCACCAAGGCGACGAUCCGUAGCUGGUCUGAGAGGAUGAUCAGCCACACUGGGACUGAGACACGGCCCAGACUCCUACGGGAGGCAGCAGUGGGGAAUAUUGGACAAUGGGCGAAAGCCUGAUCCAGCAAUGCCGCGUGAGUGAUGAAGGCCUUAGGGUUGUAAAGCUCUUUUACCCGGGAUGAUAAUGACAGUACCGGGAGAAUAAGCCCCGGCUAACUCCGUGCCAGCAGCCGCCGUAA
RNAcentral lists this ribosomal RNA (449 nucleotides) under uncultured bacterium. RNAcentral's name for it is "partial 16S ribosomal RNA". It matches the Rfam family "Bacterial small subunit ribosomal RNA", at positions 29 to 523 of the family's 1533-position model. The record is from RNAcentral.